Molecule: long non-coding RNA, 399 nt
Filed under: Heterocephalus glaber (naked mole-rat)
Lineage: Eukaryota; Metazoa; Chordata; Mammalia; Rodentia; Bathyergidae
Description: lncRNA (ENSHGLG00000045558.1)
Source: RNAcentral
CUUCAGAUGUGGAAUUCUUGGCUUUUCUUGGCCGUCUUCCUGGUAUCUCAGAAGUAUUGUGGGAGCAAGGAGGGUGCAAUCUUGGACUGGAAUGCCAAAGCGAGACACUGAGAUCAGGUGGUCAGAGUUCUUCCAGAAUCCUAAGAGCAUUCUCAACACUAGCCCAGGCCUGCUGUACUUCAACAUGAAGUCCUUUCAGUCAUCACUGAGCCCCACACCGGCGCUGACAUGUGAGGGACCGUCAAGCUCACCUCAUGGAAGAGAAACUGAGUUUUAGAGAAGUGGACUAAACACAGAGGCUCACCCUGCGAGCGCCAGAAGCCAAUUCACACUUCCCAAAGCUGGUGACAGGAAAAAGCCGUUAUUGUUGUCUUCCCAGAACUUGUGUUGCUGCUGGGG